AUUGAACGCUGGCGGCAUGCUUUACACAUGCAAGUCGAACGGUAACAGGCCUUCGGGUGCUGACGAGUGGCGAACGGGUGAGUAAUGCAUCGGAACGUGCCCAGAGGUGGGGGAUAACGCAGCGAAAGCUGUGCUAAUACCGCAUGUGAUCUGAGGAUGAAAGCGGGGGACCAGGCAGCAAUGUUUGGCCUCGCGCCUUUGGAGCGGCCGAUGUCAGAUUAGGUAGUUGGUGGGGUAAAGGCCUACCAAGCCGACGAUCUGUAGCUGGUCUGAGAGGACGACCAGCCACACUGGGACUGAGACACGGCCCAGACUCCUACGGGAGGCAGCAGUGGGGAAUUUUGGACAAUGGGCGCAAGCCUGAUCCAGCAAUGCCGCGUGCGGGAAGAAGGCCUUCGGGUUGUAAACCGCUUUUGUACGGAACGAAAAGGCUCUGGCUAAUACCCGGGGCUGAUGACGGUACCGUAAGAAUAAGCACCGGCUAACUACGUG
RNAcentral lists this ribosomal RNA (492 nucleotides) under uncultured bacterium. RNAcentral's name for it is "partial 16S ribosomal RNA". It matches the Rfam family "Bacterial small subunit ribosomal RNA", at positions 30 to 507 of the family's 1533-position model. The record is from RNAcentral.